Molecule: ribosomal RNA, 436 nt
Filed under: uncultured bacterium
Lineage: Bacteria
Description: partial 16S ribosomal RNA
Rfam family: Bacterial small subunit ribosomal RNA
Source: RNAcentral
GAUGAACGCUGGCGGUAUGCUUAACACAUGCAAGUCGAACGGGGUGCAUAGUCCCCUAGUGGCGGACGGGUGAGUAACGCGUGAGAAUCUGGCCUCAGGUCCGGGACAACCACGGGAAACGGUGGCUAAUACCGGAUGUGCCAUAUUGGUGAAAGAUUAAUUGCCUGAGGAUGAGCUCGCGUCUGAUUAGCUAGUUGGUGGGGUAAAGGCUUACCAAGGCGACGAUCAGUAACUGGUCUGAGCGGAUGACCAGUCACGCUGGGACUGAGACACGGCCCAGACUCCUACGGGAGGCAGCAGUGGGGAAUUUUCCGCAAUGGGCGAAAGCCUGACGGAGCAAUACCGCGUGAGGGAGGAAGUCUCUUGGGUUGUAAACCUCUUUUCUCAGGGAAGAAGAAUGACGGUACCUGAGGAAGCAGCAUCGGCUAACUCCGUG